Molecule: long non-coding RNA, 1649 nt
Filed under: Jatropha curcas
Lineage: Eukaryota; Viridiplantae; Streptophyta; Magnoliopsida; Malpighiales; Euphorbiaceae
Description: long non-coding RNA (JCUR_LNC002161)
Source: RNAcentral
AGAAGAUUGAACAUCACAAAACAGCUCAAAAUUAGAAGCUCACGAGUCAGACACCCAAAGUUCGCCAGACAGCGACUCACACACACAAGAAAGAAAACAAAUAUCUUGGUAUAAGGGCUGUUGCUAACAUGAGAAACAAGGAUCAAAAUUAUGCAAAGCUUAGUUCACGCAGCAACGACAUUCACCGAAUGUAAAAGUAAAGCCAAAAUUGAUUUAAUCAUGUAAAAGGAGUCUCAGAUUUGUCUUUUUCAAGCAGAAGAUUGAAUAUCACAAAAGAGCUCAAAAUCAGAACCUCAUGAGUCAUGCACUCAAAGUGAACUAAAGCCGACCUUGAUUUUAUCAUAUAAAAGGAGGCUCAGGUUCGCCUUUUUCAAGCAGAAGAUUGAACAUCACAAAACAGCUCAAAAUUAGAAGCUCACGAGUCACACACCCAAAGUUCGCCAGACAGCCACUCACACACACAAGAAAGAAAACAAAUAUAUUGGUAUAAGGGCUGUUGCUAACAUGAGAAACAAGGAUCAAAAUUAUGCAAAGCUUAGUUCACGCAGCAACGACAUUCACCGAAUGUAAAAGUAAAGCCAAAAUUGAUUUAAUCAUGUAAAAGGAGUCUCAGAUUUGUCUUUUUCAAGCAGAAGAUUGAAUAUCACAAAAGUGCUCAAAACCAAAAGCUCACGAGUGACCCACCCAAAGUAAACUAAAGCCGACAUUGAUUUUAGCAUAUAAAAAGAGGCUCAGAUUCGCCUUUCUCAAGCAAAAAAUUGAAUAUCACAAAACAGCUCAAAAUUAGAGGCUCACGAGUCACACACCCAAAGUUCGCCAGACAGCCACUCUCACACACACAAGAAAGAAAGCAAAUUUAUUGGUAUAAGGGCUGUUGCCAGCAUGAGAAACAAGGAUCAAAAUUAUGCCAAGCUUUGUUCACAUACCAACAACAUUCAACGAAUGUAAUGCUAAAGCCGACAUUGAUUUAAGCAUAUAAAAGGAGGCUCAAAUUCUCCUUUUUAAGCCAGAAGAUUGAACAUCACAAAACAGCUCAAAAUCAUCAGGUCACGAGUCACCCACUCAAAGUAAACAAAACCCGACCUUGAUUUAAGCAUAUAAAAGGAGGCUCAGAUUCCCCUUUUUCAAGCGGAAGAUUGAACAUCACAAAAGAGCUCAAAAUCAGAAGCACACAAGUCACACACCAAAAGUUCGCUUGACAGCCACUCACACACACGAGAAAGCAAAUAUAUUGGUAUAAGGGUUUUUGCCAGCAUGAUAAACAAGGAGGCAAGAUCAUAUGUAAUACUAACAACAUACUUCAUGGUACAUUGAUGAUGAACAAUAAUAACGACGAUCCUAACACUUUAUUGUGCUUCAUGCCAAAUUAUGUACACACAAGGAUCAUAUGUAACGUAUCGUGAGAAACAGCCACUAACACUUUCUUCACCAUAAGUACAUACCAGGAUCAGCAUUCCGCUUUGCUAGCAAACGUAGCUCUCCAGCAGCUGCUCUUUGUUGUUCUGGAUUCCCAUUUGCCAAUUUCUCUAAUAAGGCAACAAUAGCAAUUCGAUCACAAUCUGAAAAACUGGUUCCAAUUUUUUUUUUUCUAUAACCUCCUUGUUGUUUAGGCAGCUCAACACCAUUGCUUUCACACCACAAUGCNNNNN